CCGGCCGUCGAACAGGUCUGUAGUUUUCUUGUCUUAUGGCGAUGUGUGUGGAAGACAGGAUCAGUAGUUUCCCUGAUCAUAUUCUUUGUCAUAUUUUGUCAUUCCUUCCCAUCGAAGAAGCAGUUCGAACCUCUAUUAUUUCAACCAAGUGGAGAUACCUCUUUGCUUCAAUUUCUACCAUUAAAUUUGAUGGUUAUUUAAUUAGUGGUUUGACUGAAAGAAAUCUUGACAGUUUCAAGAACUUUGUUGAUAGGUUAUUAAAAUUCCCCGAUCAGGUAAGUUUAGAUUGCUUUAGGCUAAAUGAUAUUAUUUCAUGGAAUGAUGAAGAUCAUAAUUUUGAUGUUUCUGAUUGGAUAUGUGCUGCACUGUGCCGUGGUGUUAAGGAAAUUGAUUUGGACUUAGAGAAUCUUGGGGAUAUUUUACCAGCUCUUUUAUUCACUUGCCACUCACUGGUGACGCUGAAAUUGGUUGCAGUAGAUUCUGAGAUUAAGGUCCCAUCUGACGUUUGUUUAGGGAAUCUGAAGACUUUGCAGCUUAUAAACUCGGAAUUUGUAGGUGAUUCCAUUCAUAGGUUAAUUUCGAAUUGCCAUGUCUUAGAAGAUUUGGCUUUUAUUAAUUGUGAUUUUGAAUAUUUGCGUGAGGAGGUCAAUAUCCAAAGUCCUUCGCUUAAGAGAUUGGUUUUAGUUUUUGAUCUUGUAGAAUUCGAAAAUAUAGAUUAUGUGGUGGUGAUUAAUGCUCCAAAUCUUGUUUAUUUUCAAUAUACUGAUACAGUAGUUAAAGGCUAUACUUUGACUAACAUGAAGUGUCUAGAAAAAGCCCAUAUUAACAUCUGGGAAAGUGAUUCCAUUGAUUGUGAAACAAGUGCAACUCAUCUUAUUCAAGGACUUCGCAAUGUGCGGUCUCUAAGUUUAACCCCUGAUGAAGCGGUUAGUAAACUUAGCAUUCAUGUGUGAUUUUCCUUCUAACGUUAUACAAUUUAACAUUAUAUAAUAGCUCCAAGUUUUUGUCUGUGCAGAUUUUCCUAACAAAUCGACUUCCUAUAUUUCACAACCUUAUUGAAUUCGAAUAUGAUAGUCAUGGUUUUGAUGGGAUAGAAACUUGGCUUGUGGAGUUUCUACAUUGUGCGCCUAAUCUAGAGACACUUACCCUCAAUUUUCCGGUAUGAAGUCUUUGUCUAAGUUCGUGUGUAUUCGUUGCAGUUUAUUGUUUUAGUGUCAGUUACAUCCAAAGUUAUGAUAAAGUUAAAAGAAAUCGAAAGCAUGUUCGAGAUCACCUAAAUUCAUGGUACAAACCAAAUAACUUUUCUUCUUUUUUCAUGAGUUUAGGAUGUUGCAGGAACUCGACGGAAGGCUUUACCUAUAGAAGUUCCUUCUUGUUUGUCAUUUCAUCUAAAGGAGAUUGAAAUUUCAUGCUUUGAGACACAUAUAAUUGAAAUGGUUAGUUAUUUCUUGGAUAAUGCAAUGGUUUUGGAAAAUCUCAUAAUCAGAAUGAAGGGCAUGACUGUGACACAGAAAACGAAAGUCAUCAACCAAUUAUUGCAGUUACUAAAGAGUUCAAAGAAAUGUCUAAUUGUGAUUUUGUAGUACUGUUUUAUAUUAUGGUUAGAACUUAUCAGUGUCUGGUUUGGUUUUGUAUAGAUGUGUUGUUUGUAAUAUAUAUUUCACUGUUAAUAUCCGAUACAUUCACUAAUCACAAUAGACUAUACCUGAUGGUUGGUUUAUAUGUAUACUUGUGUAUAUAAUGUAUUUUAGCCGAAAGUAGCCUUUGAAAUUGAUAUGUAGCCCCAUGAUUGGCAAAACAGAAACAUAUUUUAAUUUGUAAGAAACAAUCGUAUGAUAUGCGUUACACAACAAGCUCUGACAGGAAGAAUAUCAGAUUGAUUUGGAGCUAUUUUAGAACAAGAAAAAGGGGAGCUCUCUAGUUAUGUGGAUUUGUACAUUCUUACCAACAGCAAAGAAGGCUUCCAUUGUUCCUGUUAUAGGCUAGCUUUGGUUCAACACGGGCCAUUGAAGAUGAAGGUUUGAGACCUUGAGAUUUUAGCCUGCUAGAAUACAGGAAUUUAGCUUUCCUAGGACUGAAAUGAUGUUUAAAUGAUGCUUGCGCCUUACAGGUCAGUCAGUGUUGAACAUUUUUUGAAGGCUUUUGAAUGGUCAGAUUCUUGUGAAAUGCAAAUUCGGUUGAGUCAAAAUAUUUUAAUUUAAUGGGGGUUUGGAUUUUUUUUUUUUUUUUGCAUCUAUGUGGCUGAAAAUUAUAAAUUUUAUAAUGUAAUCCAUCUUUCUUCUCUUAUUUGCUAGCAACUUUUGAUGUAUAUAUGGUGUUCUUGUGAUUGAAUGUCACAAAUAUGCUAGCAACUUGUGAUUUUAUAAAAAAAUUUAAAUAAUUUAAUGAUUAUUUUAUAAUUUUUAAAAUUUAAUGAUUAAAAUGUAUAUUUACUAAAAAUUUAGUAAGCUGGGAUGUAGUUAAAACCAAAUCAGGUACCAAUAAGUUUUAACCAUAUCAUAAAAUAGUACCAAGAAACCCCUCCAGUGUAACAUAACACCAGUGUAACAUAACAUCGACAAGAGGCUGAAGAUUUGCCAAUCAAAUUUUACUGUAAUACGCUCCCAUAAUAUUCACAAUGCAUAAUGACGGAAAUUUCUUGGUAGAAGUACCAUCAAGGCCCUUUUAUUGAGAGUUAAAUUGUAUUUUACCUCUUUUAUUUAAAAAAAUAAGUAAAUUAAUCUUGCUAUAUUAGAUCAAAAAGCAUAUUGGUUAUUUUGCUAAAAAUAUCAUCCCUUUGGUGACGACUUAUAAGAAUCAAUUUUUAAUGGUAGGAAUGAAUGAUAAAUGAAAAUUUAAUAAAAAGACUAAUUUACUUUUUAAUUUAACAUGUAAGAACAAAUUUACUUAUUUUUUAAGUAAAAGGUGAAAAUACAAUCUAACUCUUAGUAAAAAUGCCUUGAUAAUACUUUUCCCAAAUUAAUUUUGAGAUGAUAUUUUAACAGAAGAAUGCACCAGAAGUCAAGAGAUGAAGAUGAGAGUUGAUAUUAUCAACACUGACAGACCUGUAAGGCGCAAGCUUUGGUGUCAAUGGUGUGAGUUCUAUAGUCAAAUUAAGGGAUCUUCAAACAUGAUUUCAUUCCUAGAGAAUCUAAAUUCCAGUAUUCUGGCAGGCUAAAAUCUAAAGUUCUCAAACCUUCAUUUCCAAUGGCCUGUGCUGAAUCAAAGCUAGCCUACAACAGGAACACUGGAAGCGUAGUCUUUCUUUUGGUUACAAUACAUAUAUAUAUUUAUGCAUAUAAUUUUAUUUGAAUUACUUGGUAACUGCAAUAAUUGUUUGCAGACUUUCCAUUACCGUCUCCCAGACAGGGUUCACAUCCUUAUCAUGAGCUUUUCCCGUACCAUUGCAUUAUCAAAGAAAUAAGUAAUCAUUUCAAACAAACAAGAAGGAACUUGUAUAGGUAAAACCUUCCAUGGAGUUUCCACACCAUCCUAAACUCAUGAAAAAAGUGAUUUGGUUUGUACCAUGAAGUAAAGGUGAUCUCGAGCAUGCUUUUGGUUUCUUCUAAGUGUGAGGGUAAGUGUCAUGGCAAGUAAAUGAAAGAGCUGGUGAAGUGAGAACAUCCCCAAUAUUAGCUAAAUGUAAAUCACUUUCCUUAACAUCUUGGCACAAGGCAGUCAUUCCAAGAAAUCCCAUCACUCAGCCUAAAUCGAUCUGAACUUACCUGAUUGGGGGAUUUCAAUAACCUAUCAACAAAGUUGUUGAAGCUGCUAACAUUUCUGUCAGUCAAACUUCAAUGCGUUGCUAUCAUAUUCCUUAUUGCAGGAGGCGGAGCAGGAUCAAUAUGGUCGCAUAACAACAUGUAAGAUGAAUGAUUUGGUUCAUGAUCUUGCAAAUCCAUUUCUCAUAUUAGACAAGAAAAUGUUGUUAAUGGUGUGAGAUUGUGGCACUCUUUGUUCUUCGAGUCUAGCUCCAUCCGUGCUGUAAGGGACUUCAAAAGCUUACGAGUUCUUAUUUUUUGUGAGUCUCCUUGUCACUCUCUAUUGGCAGGCUAAAGCAUUUAAGGUACUUUGAGAUUUCAAGAACUUACAUAUGUAGAUUACCAAUGUCAUCGGGCAGCUCUACCAUUUGCAGACAUUCAAGAUUAUUUGGUUAUCAAGGGUGCUUGCCUCAAGGGACGGAACUACUUGUUCCAGUUACUAACCAAUUUGGUCUGUUCUGGUUGAACUAUGUAAGGUGACAUCCAAUCAUCCAUGUCGUAAUAAACUGACCAACCUGUGAAGCACAAGCAUUGGUGGUGUGAGUUCCAUAGUCAAAUCAGGGGUGGUGAUGUCCCAGUAGCUUCAAACAUCAAUUCAUCACAGAGAGGCUAAAUUUCAGUAUUCUAAGAGGCUAAAUCCCAAAGUUCUCAAACCUUCAUUUUCAAUCGCCUGUCUUAAACCAAAGUUAGUAGUAGCCUUUAACAGGAACAAUGGAAGCCUUCUUUGCUGCUUAUAAGAAUGUACUAAUCUCCAUAGCUUGAUGUUCCUUUUCUCUUACAGCUUCUUGUGUAAUGUAUAUAAUUUCAAACAUAUGUGCAUCUCCUUGAAUUGAAAUGAUAAACAAGAAGAAACUUCUCUUGGUAAACCCUUCAAUAUAGUUUUCCCAACAGCCCAAGCUCAUGAGAAAAAAGAAGAAAAAUGUUAUCUGGUUUGUAACAUGGAUUUAGGUGAUCUCGAACAGGUUUCCAUUUCUUUUUAAGUUUAUCCUAAUUGUGAAUAUAACCGACACUAAGCCAAUCAAUGGAUCGCUGAUAAGUAUAUUUAGAUUAGGCACACAUAUCAUGUCUUGUUCAUUUCUUCUGGAGAUGAUGGGGCUUACAUACUUCAUACUUGAUCAAUCAAGAAAAGACAUGAAAGAAUAGUACAGGUAUUAAAUAUGACAUUUACUUUGUAUAUGUAUUAUAUUGCACAUUGGAUAAAAGUUAAGGGACCAUUUUUGAUAUUAACCUUAAAUCUUAUAUAAAGGUACGGGAAAACGAAAAUAGUCAUCUCUUUUCACAUUUAACACUAAAUAUUUGUAUCCCUAGCUGCUUCUACGAAAGCAUUCUUCACAGCCACUCACGACGGUCGUCAGCUUUCUCAGCUCAGCUUCCCGGACCUCCUCUAUACUCAAGUCUUCAAAGUUUGCUCAGAAGCCAGACAUAAGCUAGUGAAGCCGAACCACAAAACAAAAGGGGAAAACAAUCCGGUUCCUAUCGACGGCCGUCGGGCAGGUCUGUAGUUUUCUUACCUUAUGGCGAUGUGUGUGGAAGACAGGAUCAGUAGUUUUCCGGAUCAUAUUCUUUUUCAUAUUUUGUCUUUCCUUCCCAUUAAAGAAGCAGUUCGAACCUCUAUUAUUUCAACCAAGUGGAGAUACCUCUUUGCUUCAAUUUCUACCAUUAAAUUUGAUGGUUCUUUAAUGAGUGGUUUGACUGACAGAAAUGUUGACAGCUUCAAGAACUUUGUUGAUAGGUUAUUGAAAUUCCCCGAUCAGGUAAGUUUAGAUUGCUUUGGGCUAAAUGAUAUUGUUUCAUGGAAUGAUAGAGAUCAUAAUUUUGAUGUUUCUGAUUGGAUAUGUGCUGCACUGUGCCGUGGUGUUAAGGAAAUUGAUCUGGACUUAGAGAAUCUUGGGGAUAUUUUACCAGCUCUUUUAUUCACUUGCCACUCACUGGUCACAUUGAAAUUGGUUGCAUUAGGUUCUGAGAUUAAGGUCCCAUCUGACGUUUGUUUAGGGAAUCUGAAGACUUUGCAGCUUGGAAACUCGGUACUUUUCGGUGAUUCCAUUCAUAGGUUAAUUUCCAAUUGCCAUGUCUUAGAAGAUUUGGCUGUUAUUGAAUGUCGUUUUGAUAAUAUAAGUGAGGUCAAUAUCCAAAGUCCUUGGCUUAAGAGAUUAGUUUUAGUUUUUAAUCUUGACGUAUUCGGCAAUAUAGAUUAUGUGUUGGUGAUUAAUACUCCAAAUCUUGUUUAUUUUCAAUAUACUGACGCAGUAGUUGAAGGCUAUAAUUUGACUAACAUGAAGUCUCUAGAAAAAGCCCAUAUUAACAUCUGCGAGAGUGAUUCCAUUGAUUGUGAAACAAGUGCAACUCAUCUUAUUCAAGGAAUUCGCAAUGUGCGGUCUCUAAGUUUAACCACUGAUGCAGCGGUUAGUAAACUUAGGAUUCAUGUGUGAUUUUCCUUCUAACAUUAUACAAUUUAACAUUAUAUAAUAGCUCCAAGUUUUUGUUUGUGCAGAUUUUCCUAACUAGUCGACUUCCUAUAUUUCACAACCUUAUUGAAUUCGAAUAUUGUGGUCUUGGUUUUGAUGGGAUAGAAACUUGGCUUGUGGAGUUUCUACAUUGUGCGCCUAAUCUAGAGACAUUUACCCUCAAUUUUCCGGUAUGAAGUCUGUGUCUAAGUUUGUGUGUAUUCGUUGCAGUUUAUUGUUUUAGUGUCAGUUAUAUCCACAGUUAUGAUAAAUUUAAAAAAAAUCGAAAGCAUGUUCGAGAUCACCUAAAUUCAUGGUACAAAGCAAAUAACUUUUCUUCUUUUUUCAUGAGUUUAGGUUGAUGCGAGAAUUCAAUGGAAGGUUUUACCUGUAAAAGUUCCGUCUUGUUUGUCAUUUCAUCUAAAGGAGAUUGAAAUUUCAUGCUCUGAGACACAUAUAAUUGAAAUGGUUAGUUAUUUCUUGAAUAAUGCAAUGGUUUUGGAAAAUCUCAUAAUAAGAAUGAAGGCCAUGACUGUGACACAGAAAAGGAAAGUCAGCAACCAAUUAUUGCAGUUACUAAAGAGUUCAAAGAAAUGUCUAAUUGUGAUUUUGUAGUACUGUUUUAUAUUAUGGUUAGAAUUACUUAUCACUGUCUGGUUUGGUUUUGUAUAGAUGUGUUGUUUGUAAUAUAUAUUUCACUGUUAAUAUCCAAUACAUUCACUAAUCGCAAUAGACUAUACCUGAUGGUUGGUUUAUAUGUAUGUGUGUAUGUAUACUUGUGUAUAUAAUGUAUACAAAACCAAAUCAGGUACCAAUAAGUUUUAACCAUAACAUAAAAUAGUACCAAGAAACCCCUCCAGCCAUAACAUAAAAUAGUACCAAGAAACCCCUCCAGUCUAACAUAACAUCGACAAGAGGCUGAAGAUCUGCCAAGCAAAUUUUACUCUAAUACGCUCUUAUAAUAUUCACAAUACAUAAUGACAGAAAUUUCUUGGUAGAAGUACCAUCAACGCUCUUUUACUAAGAGUCAAAUUGUAUUUUGCUUCUUUUAUUUUUAAAAUGAGUAAAUUAGUCUUCUUAUAUUAGAUAAAAAAGCAUAUUGGCUAUUUUUGUUAAAAAUAUCAUCCCUUUGUAACGUUAAAACCAAACAUGACUGAUAAAAUAAUCACGUCACGACUCACAUGUAUCUCAAGCUGACGACUUAUAAGAAUCAAUUUUUAAUAGUAGGAAUGAAUGAUGAAUGAAAGUUUAAUAGAAAGAUCAAUUUACUUUUUAAUUUAACAUAUAAGAGCAAAUUUACUUAUUUUUUAAGUAAAGGGUCAAAAUACAAUCUUAACUCUUAGUAAAAAGGCCUUGAUAAUACUUUUCCCAAAUUAAUUUUGAGAUGAUAUUUUAACAGAAGAAUGCACCAGAGGUCCAGAGAUGAAGAUUAGAGUUGAUAUAAUCAACACUGACAGACCUGUAAGGCGCAAGCUUUGGUGUCAAUGGUGUGAGUUCUAUAGUCAAAUUAAGGGAUCUUCAAACAUGAUUUCAUUCCUAGAGAAUCUAAAUUCCAGUAUUCUGGCAGGCUAAAAUCUAAAGUUCUCAAACCUUCAUUUCCAAUGGCCUGCUGAAAUCAAAGCUAGCCUACAACAGGAACACUGGAACCGUAGGCUUUCUUUUGGUUACAAUACAUAUAUAUUUAUGCAUAUAAUUUUAUUUGAAUUACUUGGUAACUGCAAUAAUUGUUUGCAGACUUUCCAUUACCGUCUCCCAGACAGGGUUCACAUCCUUAUCAUGAGCUUUUCCAGUACCAUUGCAUUAUCAAAGAAAUAAGUAAUCAUUUCAAACAAACAAGAAGGAACUUGUAUAGGUAAAACCUUCCAUGGAGUUUCCACACCAUCCUAAACACAUGAAAAAAGUGAUUUGGUUUGUACCAUGAAGUAAAGGUGAUCUCGAACAUGCUUUUGGUUUCUUCUAAGUGUGAAGGUAAGUGUCAUGGCAAGUAAAUGAAAGAGCUGGUGAAGUGAGAACAUCCCCAAUAUUAGCUAAAUGUAAAUCACUUUCCUUAACAUCUUGGCACAAGGCAGUCAUUCCAAGAAAUCCCAUCACUCAGCCUAAAUCGAUCUGAACUUACCUGAUUGGGGGAUUUCAAUAACCUAUCAACAAAGUUGUUGAAGCUGCUAACAUUUCUGUCAGUCAAACUUCAAUGCGUUGCUAUCAUAUUCCUUAUUGCAGGAGGUGGAGCAGGAUCAAUAUGGUCGCAUUACAACAUGUAAGAUGAAUGAUUUAGUUCAUGAUCUUGCAAAUCCAUUUCUCAUAUUAGACAAGAAAAUGUUGUUAAUGGUGUGAGAUUGUGGCACUCUUUGUUCUUCGAGUCUAGCUCCAUCCGUGCUGUAAGGGACUUCAAAAGCUUACGAGUUCUUAUUUUUUGUGAGUCUCCUUGUCACUCUCUAUUGGCAGGCUAAAGCAUUUAAGGUACUUUGAGAUUUCAAGAACUUACAUAUGUAGAUUACCAAUGUCAUCGGGCAGCUCUACCAUUUGCAGACAUUCAAGAUUAUUUGGUUAUCAAGGGUGCUUGCCUCAAGGGACGGAACUACUUGUUCCAGUUACUAACCAAUUUGGUCUGUUCUGGUUGAACUAUGUAAGGUGACAUCCAAUCAUCCAUGUCGUAAUAAACUGACCAACCUGUGAAGCACAAGCAUUGGUGGUGUGAGUUCCAUAGUCAAAUCAGGGGUGGUGAUGUCCCAGUAGCUUCAAACAUCAAUUCAUCACAGAGAGGCUAAAUUUCAGUAUUCUAAGAGGCUAAAUCCCAAAGUUCUCAAACCUUCAUUUUCAAUCGCCUGUCUUAAACCAAAGUUAGUAGUAGCCUUUAACAGGAACAAUGGAAGCCUUCUUUGCUGCUUAUAAGAAUGUACAAAUCUCCAUAGCUUGAUGUUCCUUUUCUCUUACAGCUUCUUGUGUAAUGUAUAUAAUUUCAAACAUAUGUGCAUCUCCUUGAAUUGAAAUGAUAAACAAGAAGAAACUUCUCUUGGUAAACCCUUCAAUAUAGUUUUCCCAACAGCCCAAGCUCAUGAGAAAAAAGAAGAAAAAUGUUAUCUGGUUUGUAACAUGGAUUUAGGUGAUCUCGAACAGGUUUCCAUUUCUUUUUAAGUUUAUCCUAAUUGUGAAUAUAACCGACACUAAGCCAAUCAAUGGAUCGCUGAUAAGUAUAUUUAGAUUAGGCACACAUAUCAUGUCUUGUUCAUUUCUUCUGGAGAUGAUGGGGCUUACAUACUUCAUCCUUGAUCAAUCAAGAAAAGACAUGAAAGAAUAGUACAGGUAUUAAAUAUGACAUUUACUUUGUAUAUGUAUUAUAUUGCACAUUGGAUAAAAGUUAAGGGACCAUUUUUGAUAUUAACCUUAAAUCUUAUAUAAAGGUACGGGAAAACGAAAAUAGUCAUCUCUUUUCACAUUUAACACUAAAUUUUUGUAUCCCUAGCUGCUUCUACGAAAGCAUUCUUCACAGCCACUCACGACGAUCGUCAGCUUUCUCAGCUCAGCUUCCCGGACCUCCUCUAUACUCAAGUCUUCAAAGUUUGCUCCGAAGCCAGACAUAAGCUAGUGAAGCCGAACCACAAAACAAAAGGGAAAAACAAUCCGGUUCCUAUCGCCGGCCGUCGGACAGGUCUGUAGUUUUCUUACCUUAUGGCGAUGUGUGUGGAAGACAGGAUCAGUAGUUUUCCGGAUCAUAUUCUUUUUCAUAUUUUGUCUUUCCUUCCCAUUAAAGAUGCAGUUCGAACCUCUACUAUUUCUACCAAGUGGAGAUACCUCUUUGCUUCAAUUUCUACCAUUAAAUUUGAUGGUUCUUUAAUGAGUGGUUUGACUGACAGAAAUGUUGACAGCUUCAAGAACUUUGUUGAUAGGUUAUUGAAAUUCCCCGAUCAGGUAAGUUUAGAUUGCUUUAGGCUAAAUGAUA
RNAcentral lists this long non-coding RNA (10121 nucleotides) under Gossypium barbadense (sea-island cotton). RNAcentral's name for it is "long non-coding RNA (GBAR_LNC013846)". Lineage: Eukaryota; Viridiplantae; Streptophyta; Magnoliopsida; Malvales; Malvaceae. The record is from RNAcentral.